UGUGGCUCAUAGUUAAGCUUCCUUGGGUUCAAUCCCUUGUACCAAAAAAGAAAAAAGAAAACCUGUGCCCCUGUGCCAAGGGCAUGCCACCUAGUACAGAAUAGAAGCUUUCCAUUCAAUACUGGAUUCAAUUAUAUCAGUUCUCAUCAAGGCAAAUUUGGCCAAUUCCAUUGAGCAUGUGCAAGGGAAUGACCCCUUCACUUGCUCAAAUAGCUCCUCAAUAAUAGAUACUACUUACUGAGCAUUUAGUAAGGGACAGAUUCUGUGGCAAACACUCAUACAUUCUCUUUGAAUGUUCAGUACAGCCCUAGAAAGAUGGUAGUAUCACACAUAUCUUAUGGGAAACCAGAUUCUGUAGCCCACAAGCCUCAGAAAGGCUGAGUCACUAUCCAAAGCCCGUCUCUUAGCUACUGCAUCCCCAGAGCAAUGGUUCCAGAAUGUGUCUUUUUAUAUCCAGCACUGGUGGCUGUGGACUGUGUUGGGGAACUUGCUACUCUUUAGGGGUGGCUGUGGGCAGAGGAAGGAUGUUGGAUAGUUAAAGAGAAC
This 546-nucleotide long non-coding RNA is filed under the name Marmota monax (woodchuck). The record is from RNAcentral. Lineage: Eukaryota; Metazoa; Chordata; Mammalia; Rodentia; Sciuridae.